This 477-nucleotide ribosomal RNA is filed under the name uncultured bacterium. RNAcentral's name for it is "bacterial SSU rRNA". It matches the Rfam family "Bacterial small subunit ribosomal RNA", at positions 28 to 508 of the family's 1533-position model. The record is from RNAcentral.
GACGAACGCUGGCGGCGUGCCUAACACAUGCAAGUCGAGCGGGAACCUCAGGAGGGGUAACCCUUCCGAGGGGAGAGCGGCGAACGGGUGAGUAACACGUGGGCAACCUGCCCCGGACACCGGGAUAACCCAGGGAAACCUGAGCUAAUACCGGAUACUCCGGCGCGAUCGCAUGGUCGCGCCGGGAAAGCUCCGACGGUCCGGGAUGGGCCCGCGGCCUAUCAGCUUGUUGGUGGGGUAACGGCCCACCAAGGCGACGACGGGUAGCUGGUCUGAGAGGACGGCCAGCCACACUGGGACUGAGACACGGCCCAGACUCCUUCGGGAGGCAGCAGUGGGGGAUCUUGCGCUAAUGCGCGAAAGCGUGACGCAGCGACGCCGCGUGGGGGAUGAAGGCCUUCGGGUUGUAAACCCCUUUCGGCAGGGACGAAGGGAAACUGACGGUACCUGCAGAAGAAGUCCCGGCUAACUACGUGC